RNAcentral lists this ribosomal RNA (638 nucleotides) under uncultured fungus. Its description in RNAcentral is "eukaryotic LSU rRNA". It matches the Rfam family "Eukaryotic large subunit ribosomal RNA", at positions 24 to 664 of the family's 3401-position model. Lineage: Eukaryota; Fungi. The record is from RNAcentral.
CCCGCUGAACUUAAGCAUAUCAAUAAGCGGAGGAAAAGAAACUAACAAGGAUUCCCCUAGUAACUGCGAGUGAAGCGGGAAGAGCUCAAAUUUGAAAUCUGGCGGCUUCCCCUUGCGAGAUGUGUUCUGGAGAAGCGUUUUCUCGUGCGUCGGCCGUGUACACGUCCCUUCGGACAGGGCGACAUCAUAGGAGGAGAAUCCCGUCUUUGACGCCGACUGCCAGCGCUCUGUGAUGCGCUCUCGAAGAGUCGAGUUGUUUGGGAGCGCAGCUCAAAAGGGGUGGUAAAUUCCAUCUACUGCUGAUUAUAGAGACGAGAGACCAAUAGCGAACAAGUACCGUGAAGGAAAGAUGCACAGCACUUAGGAAAGAGAGUGAAACAGUACGUGAAAUUGUUGAAAGGAAAACGCUUGAAGUCAGUCGCGUCUUCUGGAACUCCUCCGUCGCUUUUGCUAGGUGCAUUGCCCAGUUCGACGGGUCAGCUUCGGUUCCGGUGGGCAGACAAGACGCGCAGGGAAAGUGGCCGGCUACCGGUGGAGUUAUAUCCCUGCUUUCGUAUGUGCCCGCUGGGACCGAGCGAACCCGGCUCGCGCCUGGGAUGCUGGCGUAAUGGCUCUAAGCGACCCGUCUUGAAACACGG